Molecule: ribosomal RNA, 468 nt
Filed under: uncultured bacterium
Lineage: Bacteria
Description: partial 16S ribosomal RNA
Rfam family: Bacterial small subunit ribosomal RNA
Source: RNAcentral
GACGAACGCUGGCGGCGUGCUUAACACAUGCAAGUCGAACGGAAAGGCCCUGCUUUCGUGGGGUGCUCGAGUGGCGAACGGGUGAGUAACACGUGAGUAACCUGCUCUUGACUUUGGGAUAACUUCAGGAAACUGGGGCUAAUACCGGAUAGGAGCCCCUGUUGCAUGGUGGGGGUUGGAAAGUUUCGGCGGUUGGGGAUGGAUUCGCGGCUUACCAGCUUGUUGGUGGGGUAGUGGCUUACCAAGGCUUUGACGGGUAGCCGGCCUGAGAGGGUGACCGGCCACAUUGGGACUGAGAUACGGCCCAGACUCCUACGGUGGGCAGCAGUGGGGAAUAUUGCACAGUGGGCGGAAGCCUGAUGCAGCAACGCCGCGUGCGGGAUGACGGCCUUCGGGUUGUAAACCGCUUUCGCCUGUGACGAAGCGUGAGUGACGGUAAUGGGUAAAGAAGCACCGGCUAACUACGUG